Molecule: long non-coding RNA, 676 nt
Organism: Sorghum bicolor (sorghum)
Lineage: Eukaryota; Viridiplantae; Streptophyta; Magnoliopsida; Poales; Poaceae
Exons: 3
Source: RefSeq, a predicted model, not a curated record
AAACCACACGUUUUGCGUCACACCAUCGGGGAAUGGCGGCGAGCGGCAUCGGAGUUGUAUAUUCUAGCUGCCCUCCAUCUAUACACGAAUACAAGGAGAGGUGGAGUCACCACUGGCGAUUUUAGCGAAAUUGCUUUUUCUCCAAUUUGUGCACAGGCUGAUGCAUUUCAAGGCCUACGCAAUAGCCUGCUUGGUGAUACAUCCAAACGUCAACGAGCUCAACAGUUUGCCCAUGGCACUGUGUCGUGUCUCAUCGAACGCAACCGUUGUGUUGUCGCUCCUCGUCACCGCAGAGCGCCCCAACAGAUGCCCCACCAUCGCCCUUACAUUGGUAGCAACCGUGGCUAUGGUCGCUGAGUGCCUCAAUUGCCACUCCACCCAUCGUCUUUUACAUGGCUCAGUUCACGUUGUAUGGGGAUGGAUGCGGGUGUAUAGAAGAAGACGAGGAUAUGGGUCAUUGGGGAGGAGACCAGUGCAGUCUGUGGGGAAGAGUCGAAGAUAUCAGACCAUGGCCGACAGUGGUGUAUGGGCAAACAGACCAGGAGGGUUAAAUAAUAUAGGCCUAGAGGUCAGCAGCGCAAGUAACAGUGCCUGCUGCACAAAUAGCUUACAGCCUAUCUUAUUCUAUGCUCACUGGCUAUGUAAUUCUAUUGGGGUGAUACUUAGCAAUCAUAAA